Molecule: ribosomal RNA, 305 nt
Filed under: uncultured bacterium
Lineage: Bacteria
Description: bacterial SSU rRNA
Rfam family: Bacterial small subunit ribosomal RNA
Source: RNAcentral
GGUACCUACGGGGGGCAGCAGUGGGGAAUAUUGCACAAUGGGCGAAGGCCUGAUGCAGCAACGCCGCGUGAAGGAAGACGGUUUUCGGAUUGUAAACUUCUAUCAAUAGGGAAGAAAGAAAUGACGGUACCUAAAUAAGAAGCCCCGGCUAACUACGUGCCAGCAGCCGCGGUAAUACGUAGGGGGCAAGCGUUAUCCGGAAUUACUGGGUGUAAAGGGAGAGUAGGCGGCAAGGUAAGCGAUAUGUGAAAGCCUUAAGCUUAACUUAAGGAUGGCAUAACGAACUAUCUAGCUAGAGAACAGGG